UGUGGAGGAAAGAAUCAAAAGAGAUUCCUUUAGUAACGGCGAGUGAAACAGGAGAAGCUCAGCGUGUAGCCACAAAGCGGACCCGCAAUGCGGAAAUCCAAACUUUGUUGGGAUGCCACGUAUGGGAAAAUAUCGUUUAAGAGUAACCUACCCUGUAAUCCAAACUCGUCUAGUGAGAAAUUAGACCAUAGAGGGUAAUAGCCCCGUAGGACAGGAAAAGUAAACAGGURGGACUCRAAAUUGAUAUUUUCUCUUGAGUCAGGUUAUUUGAGAAUAUAGCCUAAAGAGGAGGUAUAUUCCUUCUAAAGCUAAAUAUAACUGUGARACCGAUAGUGAACAAGUACCAUGAGGGAAAGUUGAAAAGARCUUUGAAGAGAGAGUUCAGUCAUAGCUGUUUCC
This 399-nucleotide ribosomal RNA is filed under the name Jaera albifrons. RNAcentral's name for it is "partial large subunit ribosomal RNA". It matches the Rfam family "Eukaryotic large subunit ribosomal RNA", at positions 49 to 406 of the family's 3401-position model. Lineage: Eukaryota; Metazoa; Arthropoda; Malacostraca; Isopoda; Janiridae. The record is from RNAcentral.